RNAcentral lists this non-coding RNA (27 nucleotides) under Homo sapiens (human). Lineage: Eukaryota; Metazoa; Chordata; Mammalia; Primates; Hominidae. The record is from RNAcentral.
UGAAAGUGCUUAGAACUGUGUCUGGUA